UCUCUCUCUCUCUCUCUCUCUCACAUACCUCUUCCCCUUCCCCUUCGAGUCUUCUGUGUUUAAUCUUCUCUCCUUCUCAACUAUUUUUUCUUGAAGUUUGGAUAUUAAGUUUGAUUUAGCAAUCCGCCUUCGACUCGGCCUCUGGUGCCUUCAACUCCGCCUCUGGUGCCUUCAACACUGCCUCUGGCGCCUUCAAUUCCAAACUCUGCUGCUGCAUUAAACAAAGUAACGAGACUGUUGGGACAGGUGGGGAGAGCUUUCUCAGAGAU
Brassica oleracea var. oleracea is the source of this 269-nucleotide long non-coding RNA. RefSeq lists it as uncharacterized. Lineage: Eukaryota; Viridiplantae; Streptophyta; Magnoliopsida; Brassicales; Brassicaceae. The record is from RefSeq and is a predicted model, not a curated record. The transcript is spliced from 2 exons.